Molecule: ribosomal RNA, 604 nt
Filed under: uncultured bacterium
Lineage: Bacteria
Description: bacterial SSU rRNA
Rfam family: Bacterial small subunit ribosomal RNA (bases 1-518)
Source: RNAcentral
CCUACGGGAGGCAGCAGUGGGGAAUCUUGCGCAAUGGGCGAAAGCCUGACGCAGCCAUGCCGCGUGUAUGAUGAAGGUCUUAGGAUUGUAAAAUACUUUCACCGGUGAAGAUAAUGACUGUAGCCGGAGAAGAAGCCCCGGCUAACUUCGUGCCAGCAGCCGCGGUAAUACGAAGGGGGCUAGCGUUGCUCGGAAUUACUGGGCGUAAAGGGAGCGUAGGCGGACAUUUAAGUCAGAGGUGAAAUCCCGGAGCUUAACUUCGGAACUGCCUUUGAUACUGGGUGUCUUGAGUGUGAGAGAGGUAUGUGGAACUCCGAGUGUAGAGGUGAAAUUCGUAGAUAUUCGGAAGAACACCAGUGGCGAAGGCGACAUACUGGCUCAUUACUGACGCUGAGGCUCGAAAGCGUGGGGAGCAAACAGGAUUUAGAUACCCAGGUAGUCCACGCCGUAAACGAUGAUUGCUAGUUGUCGGGAAGCUUGCUUCUCGGGUGAACGCNGCUACGCAUAUACACUACGCCGCGGAGGUACGGUCGCGACGAUAAACUUAAACUUAAGUAAGUUAGUACGGCGUGAGACGUAGCGACGACGACGACGAGGGAGGAGG